This 761-nucleotide ribosomal RNA is filed under the name Lindrothius caucasicus. RNAcentral's name for it is "partial 28S ribosomal RNA". It matches the Rfam family "Eukaryotic large subunit ribosomal RNA", at positions 407 to 894 of the family's 3401-position model. The record is from RNAcentral. Lineage: Eukaryota; Metazoa; Arthropoda; Insecta; Coleoptera; Carabidae.
UUCAAKUGCCUCGCCGGUUAUGACCAUUUAACAGUGAUGUGUUUAUAUAUAUAUUAGAGACAUUAUAUGGCGGUUGCGGGUUUAUUCUCGUAGCUGUUUCUGUAUAGYGCUCCMCUGUUUUAUGAUAUAUAGUUUAUAGCCGGAGGCGUGCACUUCUCCCCUUGWAGGACGUCGKGACCCAUUGGAUUAUGUUGYCUAASGCUUAUAAUGSAGACCGUGGCMUGGAAUCRAAAGAUUUUAUGACCCGGACUUGYAAUGUCCCGACAUCUAUCCGAUGGUAUAAUUAUGAUGAUAGAUCGCUAUAAAUGCRUAUGAGCGUUCAGAUCCAUAACAAAUUCUUUAUAUGAUAUUAAUAGUGGAAAUCGGAUUUAAUGCCGAUUCUACACAUAUGGUAUUGAUAGUUAUGGUAUUCUCGAACCGUUCUUUAUCAUCAGUCAACGGCGUUUAUGUUUUGGGUAAUUACAGGACCCGUCUUGAAACACGGACCAAGGAGUCUAGCAUGUGCGCAAGUCAUUGGGACUUUGUGAAACCUAAAGGCGUAAWGAAAGYGAAAUAUUUGUGAAUUUUCGUAAUUCMCUGAAUUUAAGGGAAGAUGGGUAACGUUUUUUAUGUUACCUCGCAUUCCCGGGGCGUCGCGUACUUAUUGCAAGKUGSGGCGCACCAAGAGCGUACACGCUGGGACCCGAAAGAUGGUGAACUAUGCCUGGUCAGGAUGAAGUCAGGGGAAACCCUGAUGGAGGUCCGUAGCGAUUCUGACGUGC